GGUUACAUUUUUGGGAACUAGCAAGCUGAACUUGGUGAAAUUGUAUAAUUUCUUGGAUUAUAUUUUCUUUAUGUUUAGUACUUUUAAGGCUUUAUAAAGAGGCUUCCAUUGCAAAUAUUAAACAGAUUUCUACAUGUGAAGGAGACAGAAAAUUGAAGUAUGGCGAUCAUCAUGGUUUUCUCGUAAUUACACUUAUUGACACGCCAAGAGCUUAUGCUGAUCUCAAAUCUGAGGAACUUGGUCAGGGUGAAGCUAUAGCUCAAAACAUAAGGUCUAUGUUUGGACUGAGAGUUCCUGUCAUCUCAAUAGUCACCGGUGAAGGUGGUUUUGGGGGAGCUCUGGCCAUCUGUUGCUGCAAUAAAUUGUUUAUGCUUGAGAAUCCUGCUUUCUAUGUUGCUAGGUUUUCUUCGCAUCUAUUGUCUAUUUUUGGUUUCUUAUUAUUAUUCAAAUUCCUUCAUCAUUUUCCAAUACAUGCUUACCUUAUUAUUUCCCUUUUGACAUUCCUGAAGCAUCUAUUGUAUAUGAAUUUUUCUCUUGCUAGAUAGUUAAUAAGCUUUCAUGGGAUACAGCCUUAUUAAUUUCAGAAGAAUCUAUCUUUUUCAUGAAAAGGCUGCUGAAAACAUGAGGAUAACAGCCCAAGAACACCUUCGGCUAAAAAUUGAUGAUGUUAUCAUUCCUGCAAGCUUUUCUAAAUUCUCAAAUUUCUGCCUGAAAUCAACAUGAUUUGUUUGGACACUUGGAAUGCGUUCAUUUGGACUGCAUGCUUAUUCCACAUAAUUGGCAGAUUGGUGAGUGUGUUGCUAACUGGUGGAGGCCCAAUUUUGAAACAGUGAUGUAUCCCUACUGCCCUCCUCACAUCACAAUGAGUUAAUAGCUAUGGAGUAUAUUGUUUUUGUGUGCCGGAAGCCUAUUAGCUUAAUUGGUCGAGCAUUGUGCACUUGCAUUGCACAUGAUGUGGGUUCGAAUCCUACAUAGGCUUACAUGUAGUGAUCUUUUUAAAAUGUAGUAAAAAUGAAUAUAAUUAGCUUAUUUUUAUUUAUAACGACUUUUAUAAUUACCUGAAGUUUAUAUAUAGUUACCUUAUUUUCGUAUAUAAUGACCUUUUUGUAAAUGUCAUAUAGUUACCUUAUUUUUAUAUAUAAUGACCUCUGUGGAA
This is a long non-coding RNA of Chenopodium quinoa (quinoa), 1156 nucleotides long. RefSeq lists it as uncharacterized. The record is from RefSeq and is a predicted model, not a curated record. The transcript is spliced from 3 exons. Lineage: Eukaryota; Viridiplantae; Streptophyta; Magnoliopsida; Caryophyllales; Amaranthaceae.